RNAcentral lists this ribosomal RNA (207 nucleotides) under uncultured Actinomycetales bacterium. RNAcentral describes it as "partial 16S ribosomal RNA". It matches the Rfam family "Bacterial small subunit ribosomal RNA", at positions 568 to 774 of the family's 1533-position model. Lineage: Bacteria; Bacillati; Actinomycetota; Actinomycetes; Actinomycetales. The record is from RNAcentral.
CUCGUAGGCGGUUUGUCGCGUCUGCCGUGAAAUUCUGGGGCUUAACCCUGGGCGUGCGGUGGGUACGGGCAGACUAGAGUGCGGUAGGGGAGACUGGAAUUCCUGGUGUAGCGGUGGAAUGCGCAGAUAUCAGGAGGAACACCGGUGGCGAAGGCGGGUCUCUGGGCCGUUACUGACGCUGAGGAGCGAAAGCAUGGGGAGCGAACA